GGUCUGGUGGUGAAAUGGUAUCACAUCUGCUGCGUGUCUGUUUGCAUUGACGGCCCCUUUUCAGCAAAAGUCCCUUGUUCGACUCAAGGCCAGGCUG
Molecule: non-coding RNA, 97 nt
Organism: Mycena crocata
Lineage: Eukaryota; Fungi; Basidiomycota; Agaricomycetes; Agaricales; Mycenaceae
Source: the annotation of a GenBank genome assembly